This 425-nucleotide ribosomal RNA is filed under the name uncultured cyanobacterium. Its description in RNAcentral is "bacterial SSU rRNA". It matches the Rfam family "Bacterial small subunit ribosomal RNA", at positions 356 to 795 of the family's 1533-position model. The record is from RNAcentral. Lineage: Bacteria; Bacillati; Cyanobacteriota.
GGGGAAUUUUCCGCAAUGGGCGAAAGCCUGACGGAGCAAUACCGCGUGAGGGAGGAAGGCUCUUGGGUCGUAAACCUCUUUUCUCAGGGAAGAACACAAUGACGGUACCUGAGGAAUAAGCAUCGGCUAACUCCGUGCCAGCAGCCGCGGUAAUACGGAGGAUGCAAGCGUUAUCCGGAAUGAUUGGGCGUAAAGCGUCCGCAGGUGGCGAUGUAAGUCUGCUGUUAAAGAGUCUAGCUCAACUAGAUAAGAGCAGUGGAAACUACAUAGCUAGAGUACGUUCGGGGCAGAGGGAAUUCCUGGUGUAGCGGUGAAAUGCGUAGAGAUCAGGAAGAACACCAGUGGCGAAGGCGCUCUGCUAGGCCGUAACUGACACUGAGGGACGAAAGCUAGGGGAGCGAAUGGGAUUAGAUACCCCAGUAGUC